This 756-nucleotide long non-coding RNA is filed under the name Capsicum annuum. RNAcentral describes it as "long non-coding RNA (CANN_LNC010690)". Lineage: Eukaryota; Viridiplantae; Streptophyta; Magnoliopsida; Solanales; Solanaceae. The record is from RNAcentral.
UUUUUUAUUUUUGGUUUUAUUUUAUGUGACGGUAUUUGAUUAGACGUUUGAUCCGUUUGAAAAAAAAUAAGAGAUUUUGGUGUGUUUGGGGUGGCCUAAGGCUGUCAAUCAUUGAAAAAUUAUAUUGUGGUAUAUAGUUAGGUAAACUUAUAUUGUCGUAUAUGUAUAUGUGUUACUAUAUAUUAUUUUUAAUUUUUUAUGUUAUUUUAUGUGACAGUAUUUGAUUAGACGUUUGAUCAGUUGGAAAAAAGAUAGAGAGAUUGAGUGUACGUGGAGUGGCCUAGCCAUAUAUGUUCAUGUAUUUUAGGGGAGUCAAUCAUUGAAAAAUUAUAUUGUGUUAUAUAGUUACGUAAAAAAAAGUAUAUGUUGUAUGUGUAUGUUACUAUAUACUAUUAUUUAAAAAAUUUCAUUUUAUUUUAUGUGAUAGUAUUUGAUUAGACGUUUAAUCAGUUUAACCACACAAUGAAGGAGGAUAACCGAACAAAAAUACACUCGCUUGUUGUCUUGUUCUUCGUCGCGUAUAGGUGGAUUAGAUAUCCUGGCAAUUCAUAUCGUAAACAAUGAAUUCAUAUCGUAAACAAUGAGUGUUCGUCCUUGGUCUACGUCAAUCGUCACGUCGACAAUAUAAAUAUAUAUAUAUAUAUAUUGUCAUCUUGUUCUCUGUCGUGUAUAGGUGGAUUAGAUAUGUUGGUAGUUUAUGUCGUAAACAAUGAGUGUUCGUUCUUGGUCUACAUCACUCGCCACGUCAAAAAGCCU